UACAGAGGUCUCAAGCGUUGUUCGGAUUCAUUGGGCGUAAAGGGUGCGUAGGCGGCGCGGUAAGUCGGGUGUGAAAACUCGAGGCUCAACCUCGAGCCUGCAUUCGAUACUGGGCGGCUAGAGUCUGGUAGGGGGAUCUGGAAUUCCUGGUGUAGCGGUGGAAUGCGCAGAUAUCAGGAGGAACACCGGUGGCGAAGGCGGGAUCCUGGGCCAGUACUGACGCUGAGGAGCGAAAGCGUGGGGAGCAAACAGG
RNAcentral lists this ribosomal RNA (253 nucleotides) under uncultured bacterium. RNAcentral's name for it is "partial 16S ribosomal RNA". It matches the Rfam family "Bacterial small subunit ribosomal RNA", at positions 524 to 776 of the family's 1533-position model. The record is from RNAcentral.